AUAAAUGGAACUGUGAAUUUGUCAAUGUGCCAAACCGAAUCAGCAAAUAUGAAGCCUAGGCGCAAAUUCAAACUGGAAGACUCUUUAGCCCCACCUGCAUCAUCCAGUCGGCGCGUCCCGCUCAUCACCACCGACCUAUCAACGCUGGACCAAGCCACGUCACGUCCAAUCACCGACCAAGGCCCAGUUGAUAAGGACCUCCAUCCAUGGCAUCUUCCGCUUUCCAGCUGCGCUCAACCUGUUCAGCCGCACGCCUCAGCUCCCAGCCAGCUAUCUCGCCAGAUCCAUUUCUCCGUGAUUGCUCGUCCUUCCACCUCUAAUGUCCCUCAUAAAAGCCGCUAAGCCGCUUGCUCGGCCCCUUCCUUCCCUCAGUCGCUCCUCAGAUGGAAGAAGAAUCCCCCCGGCCCCAUUCAGUCUAAGCAGCUUCUGCCGCCGCUCUCUCGCCUGACCGGGAUCCACCGUCUCUGGCUCCCGCGUCACC
Molecule: long non-coding RNA, 481 nt
Organism: Xiphophorus hellerii (green swordtail)
Lineage: Eukaryota; Metazoa; Chordata; Actinopteri; Cyprinodontiformes; Poeciliidae
Exons: 4
Source: RefSeq, a predicted model, not a curated record